Small nuclear RNA from Mustela putorius furo (domestic ferret), 153 nucleotides. Its record names the gene U12. It matches the Rfam family "U12 minor spliceosomal RNA". Rfam says of the family: Although the U12 sequence is very divergent from that of U2, the two are functionally analogous. The record is from Ensembl. NCBI's taxonomy places the organism in Eukaryota, Metazoa, Chordata, Mammalia, Carnivora, Mustelidae.
AUCCAUUAAACUUAUGAGUAAGGAAAAUAACAAUUUGAGAUGACGCCAGAAUCUUCACUGCUAAUGUGAGAUGAAUUUGUGACUGGAUACAGGUUGCCCCUAAGCUGAUCUGCCUACUUGGUAUCAUGCCUGGAGUCACGAUCUGCACGUCCC